AAGUUUAAAGCUAUACAAUAAUACAGUACCCCUUUGGCAUGAUAUGUAACCCCUCUAGUGAAUUGUGCCAAUGUAUUGUGCAGUACUGUGCAGACUGGCCUGUUUUUUCCAUCAUGUGAUGGGAUUUCCCCAUUGUGCAAUGGGAUCCACAGUAGAAAAGAACUGAGUCCCUUUGCGGAGAGAGGGCGGGUUAUAUGUAAAAUGUUUUUGUUGUUGUUUUUGUUGUUGUUAUGAAAAGGCCAUGUAGUUUGCAUUUAUCGUUCAGUAGUACUGAUGGCAUAGCUACAUUUCCUCACACCCCCUUGGAAUAUUGUACAGUAUCAUAAACUAACAUAAGUAAUUAAUGAUAAUGUAGGAUUACAACAAGAUGACACCCAUAGUUUGAGCAACUUGCAGCAGGAGCAAGACACAAGGGCCAUAUCUAUGUGCAAACUGGAAUUGGAUAAGAAAAGCCAGAUAUCUUUACUGCUUUCAUUUAUGCAUUUUGACAGGGCAUGGAACAAGAGUCUAUUAAUUGAGCAGCCUAACUGCUAACUAGAAAUAUAUUUUUUCAGAAAUUAUGAUGUCAUAGAAAAAAAAGAUUUCUUCCCGAACUUUUUUGGAGGAGGAAUGGAAAUUUAAUGCAGUGACAGCCAGCAUGAUGUAGUGGUCUCAGCAUCAGACUACAACUUUGAAGACGAGGAUUUCAUUCCCAGCUUGGCCAUGGAAACCCAUGAGGUUGACCUUGGAUUGAGCUAUGCAACUCAGCCAAAUCCAACCAAUGGGGUUCUAAUGCAACCAGGCUGUACCACUUAUUGAGAAGUUAUAUGAUGCUCCUCCUACAUGACCCUUCCAUCACAUAGAAGCUCCUUCAUAUGUAUACAUCAUGCUAGACGUGCUUAUAGUUCAAGCUAACAAGCAGAAAGCCUUAUUUGCUGCAUCCUUGCCACGUAUGUCUUGUGACAGAAACCUGUUCUAUGCUGCGCCAUCCACGUUAACUAUGAAAGUCUGUUGUUUCUGUAUCGACUUGACGCAAAAGAUGUUUGGAACACACAACAUGGGCUGCUUUCUUCAUUUGCAUAAUGUCUGAUGAAAUGACAUUGAGAAGAAAUGAAUUCUUCAUGUUUUUAGUCCUUGCAAUAGUUCUAACUGUGAUAGGUCUGAAUUCAAACCUCAACUUAUUUACAUUCAAUUCAUGAAUCUUAAAAAUAGGCCUCCCAUUACUUGUAAUUCCUUGCACAUAUUUAGAACUUGGCAAAGUUAUUUUUUGGACUAUUUUUUGAAUCUCUCGAAGAGCAGUUUAGGAAAGUAACCUUUCCAAGCACUGUUUGUUAUGAACACACUUGAUCUGCCUUGAUGCCUUUUUUCUUUGCUAUCAUUAUUGUCCUCCUUAAAUUUUCACACUUUGUCUAAAAGAUAUUAUAUCCCACCUUUCGGUAAGUAGCUGGGAUUCCCAGAACAUUUCUUUUAAGUUUUAAAAAUCACAAAGUUAGACUAACAGUACAGUAGCAACACAUAGGAUUUAACAAGAGGUGUUUCCUAGUACAGUAGAGUCUUACUGAUCCAAGCUAAACAGGCCGGCAGAACCUUGGAUAAGUGAAUAUCUUGGAUAAGAAGGAGGGAUUAAGGGAACACCUAUUAAACAUCAACGUAGGUUAUGCUUUUACAAAUUAAGCACUAAACUUCAUGUUAUACAACAAAUUUGACGGAAAAGGUAGUUCAAUACUCAGUAAUGUUAUGUUGUAAUUACUGUAUUUACGAAUUUAGCACCAAAAUAUCAUGAUAUAUUGAAAACAUUGACUACAAAAAUGCCUUGGAUAAUCCAGAACCUUGGAUAAGCGAGUCUUGGAUAAGUGAGACUCUAUCUAUAGAAAUUUGUUGGAGAUGCCAUAUUAGAACUGAUGUGAUGACACAGAUGGUUGUACACAAGGUAUCUAGGUCACAAUAACCAGAGAAUCUUGGCCAAAGCUAUGUUCUGGGAGUCAGAUGUACAAUAACCUCAUUCUCUGGGACCUUCAAAGAAUUCUUGGGAACUUCCAAGGAGUGUUAGUAUUGUUAUGCUAAAGCUUCUAGAACAUAGAUAGCCAGACAAUUCUUGGCUAUAUUCUGUACUUCUCCAGCCAAUACAUGAUGUGGAAAAACGGUGAGUAAAGGGGUUUGAGUUAAAUAAGCAUGUAAGAAUGUCCUUGAAAAUGACACAAUUUUCAAAGAUGUUCUCACAUCAAGAAAGAAAUUGAAUUAAUGAUUUGAUAUCCCCUGCAGGAAUAGAAUUAAAUCAAAAUUACAUCCUUAAUUAACACGCGUGUGUGGAAAUGCGUUGCAUUUUUUAAAAAGUGUUCAUUUCCUGUAUUUGGAAAUAUCAUUAGUUUAUUUUUAUUGGCUUCAGUGGAAGAUCUGGUAAUGGUUUCUGCUGACAGCAAUUUUUGUGUUAUUUAAAGUUUCAGAACAAGCAUUCAAAAAUCAUUUUGUAUGAUGUCAGAAUUUCAGGUGCAUAAGGAGAAACCUCCCAGUCCUGUGAGCUGCCCAUUGUUUUUAAGACUGUGAUGCAUUUCUCCUUCUUGCAACCCCUGUCUUGUUGAUACUAAUGGUAUAAAAUAUUCCAUUACAACUCCUCCAACAAUCAUACUUGACAUCCUAUAAGCUACAUUGGCACCAAGCUGGCAAAUAUCUGUAUAUUUUUAUUUUAUUUUAAAUAUGUACGUUGUAUUUUAUGUUUGUAUUGUCCGUGUUUGAUAAGGCCAACUGACUAAUCAAUACAUUGUUGUAUUGUAUAACACAAGAAUUGGACCUGGGGUGCUAAAAUACAUAACAAUUGUCCAUAGGAUGGAAUGUUACAAAUAGUAUAAGUUGUGACAUGAACCAUAAGGCAACAAUGUGCUAGAAUUCUAUCAUCUGAGCUUCCUGGUUAUUCUGACUGAGGAUGAUGGGAAUUUUGGUCUGACAGAUCUGGUGGAUGUCAGGAUGGGAAAGGUGGCCUUAUACCAAGCUAGAAACCCUUUCAGAAUAUUAAAAAGUCUGUACA
Molecule: long non-coding RNA, 3001 nt
Organism: Anolis carolinensis (green anole)
Lineage: Eukaryota; Metazoa; Chordata; Lepidosauria; Squamata; Anolidae
Exons: 3
Source: RefSeq, a predicted model, not a curated record